GCCUGGAUGGCUUAGUAGGUUGAGUGUCUGACUUUGGCUCAGGUCUUGAUCUCACGGUUUGUGGGUUUGAGCCCCGCGUCGGGCU
Molecule: transfer RNA, 85 nt
Filed under: Felis catus (domestic cat)
Lineage: Eukaryota; Metazoa; Chordata; Mammalia; Carnivora; Felidae
Also listed under: 1 other name
Rfam family: tRNA
About the family: Transfer RNA (tRNA) molecules are approximately 80 nucleotides in length. Their secondary structure includes four short double-helical elements and three loops (D, anti-codon, and T loops). Further hydrogen bonds mediate the characteristic L-shaped molecular structure. tRNAs have two regions of fundamental functional importance: the anti-codon, which is responsible for specific mRNA codon recognition, and the 3' end, to which the tRNAs corresponding amino acid is attached (by aminoacyl-tRNA synthetases). tRNAs cope with the degeneracy of the genetic code in two manners: having more than one tRNA (with a specific anti-codon) for a particular amino acid; and 'wobble' base-pairing, i.e. permitting non-standard base-pairing at the 3rd anti-codon position.
Source: Rfam by way of RNAcentral